GAUGAACGCUAGCGGCAGGCCUAAUACAUGCAAGUCGAGGGGCAGCGCAGUGUAGCAAUACAUGGGCGGCGACCGGCAAACGGGUGCGGAACACGUACGCAACCUUCCUUCAAGUGGGGAAUAGCCCAGAGAAAUUUGGAUUAAUGCCCCGUAAGAUAGUAGCUCGGCAUCGGGUCGCUAUUAUAGCUGAGGCGCUUGAAGAUGGGCGUGCGUCUGAUUAGGUAGUUGGUGAGGUAACGGCUCCAAGCCGACGAUCAGUAACUGGCGUGAGAGCGCGACCAGUCACACGGGCACUGAGACACGGGCCCGACUCCUACGGGAGGCAGCAGUAAGGAAUAUUGGUCAAUGGACGCAAGUCUGAACCAGCCAUGCCGCGUGGAGGAUGAAGGUCCUCUGGAUUGUAAACUUCUUUUAUCUGGGAAGAAAUGCCAUUUUUCUAAAUGGUUUGACGGUACCAGAUGAAUAAGCACCGGCUAACUCCGUGCCAGCCGCCGCAGUAA
RNAcentral lists this ribosomal RNA (500 nucleotides) under uncultured bacterium. RNAcentral's name for it is "partial 16S ribosomal RNA". It matches the Rfam family "Bacterial small subunit ribosomal RNA", at positions 28 to 523 of the family's 1533-position model. The record is from RNAcentral.